Molecule: ribosomal RNA, 460 nt
Filed under: uncultured bacterium
Lineage: Bacteria
Description: partial 16S ribosomal RNA
Rfam family: Bacterial small subunit ribosomal RNA
Source: RNAcentral
CCUACGGGCGGCAGCAGUGAGGAAUAUUGGUCAAUGGGCGCAAGCCUGAACCAGCCAAGUCGCGUGAGGGAUGAAGGCUCUAUGGAUCGUAAACCUCUUUUAUAAGGGAAUAAAGUGUGGGACGUGUCCUGUUUUGUAUGUACCUUAUGAAUAAGGAUCGGCUAACUCCGUGCCAGCAGCCGCGGUAAUACGGAGGAUCCGAGCGUUAUCCGGAUUUAUUGGGUUUAAAGGGUGCGUAGGCGGCUUUUUAAGUCAGUGGUGAAAGUCUGUGGCUCAACCAUAGAAUUGCAGUUGAUACUGGUCGGCUGGAGUAUGGGUGAGGCAGGCGGAAUGCGUGGUGUAGCGGUGAAAUGCUUAGAUAUCACGCAGAACCCCGAUUGCGAAGGCAGCCUGCCAAGCCAUGACUGACGGUGAUGCACGAAAGCGUGGGGAUCAAACAGGAUUAGAUACCCCAGUAGUC